Non-coding RNA from Tetranychus urticae (two-spotted spider mite), 343 nucleotides. NCBI's taxonomy places the organism in Eukaryota, Metazoa, Arthropoda, Arachnida, Trombidiformes, Tetranychidae. The record is from RefSeq and is a predicted model, not a curated record.
ACACACAAAAUGACCAAUAGCAAAAAACCGUUAACUGUCUCUUCCUCAGUCCAGAAAAGAAUGGCGCUUUAAAUGAGAUUCAUUUUCAUUAAGCGAAUAUUUUCUUCUCUUUCUCUUUUUUUUAAUUUUAAAGUCUUCAGGGACAUUUCAUUUGCUGUAAGUAAAAAGUGUAUUAAACAUUCGUAUAAUUGGCUGUCCCUGACAUCUUUUUCAACUUUUACUCACCAUCAUCUUCAUCGCCGCAAUCUUUCCUGUCUAUUUCAUCUUUACCUGUGCCUUAGCUGUUGGCUAAAAAUUGUUUUUUUCACCUAAUUUUCCUGGUCAUCAUUGCCACCAUUAUAAU